Molecule: long non-coding RNA, 1348 nt
Organism: Orcinus orca (killer whale)
Lineage: Eukaryota; Metazoa; Chordata; Mammalia; Artiodactyla; Delphinidae
Exons: 3
Source: RefSeq, a predicted model, not a curated record
CUCGAGUAAGGAGCCGUACUGGGCUGUGCUUUUGGAGCAAAAUAACACGCCCAGCUGCAGGCUGGGGGAAGGCCAGCCUGGGGUUUCAGGGUGACAGUUGCAGAAGCAUAUGAAAUAAUCAGAGAAGAGGCAAGGUGGAGAACAUGACCUCAUGUCUGGCUUAGGAUCCUAGAAGCGGUGAGCUUUGCUGUGUGUCAGGCGCUGAUGGUGUUUGCUUGAAGUGACUGAUUGAGACAAGAAAACCGUAAGGAUGGUCCAGAGAACGUUCAGGGGGCAGGGCUGCGGCUGGCAGCUUUGUCAACGACGUCAGCAGGAGGGGUCGGGAGAGAACAGUAAAACACAGUUGACCUGGCAAGAGGCUGUCCUGGGAGCAGCCUCAGAGCUUGGCCCAAGAGUAUCCACCUAGCCUGACCACAGCUGACCGCGGCAGAAUCUGAUUUCUCCCAGAAUGUGCCUCCACCUGCCCCGUGCCACGGACACCCCGUGUGCCUCGCUCCUGGUGGGGCACUGGCAUGGACCACCGCAGGCACAAAACACAGCCAGCGAACUCAGCCCAAGCUCCACCAGGAGCUCAGGGUCUGCAUGAGCCAGAGCUGGCAUCUUUCCGGGGGAUGGGCCCAGGCAAAGUGACCACUCUCUUCCAGUCCAGGAGCUGUGAGCUGCACGGAAAGAAUGUGAAUGAAGACACAAUUCUAAAUGUAGCAUCACGAACGCUAUGUGAGCCGGCUCCCUCACCGUCCAGAAAAACAAGACCCGCUUGUACAUUCUGCAAGAGCAUAAAUAAAGCUGUCCUCAGGCGGCGUGCUACAGUGUCCCCCCCUUGCAGUGACUUCACUGGCUCUGACUCUCCGCAGAACCUCUGGAGCAUCGUGGGAGCUGCCCAGCUGCCUGACGGCGUGGGUGAAAAUGGCCUCGCUCUCGCCUGGACAUGCGUGAUGCUGGCUAAUUUAAUUCUGUGGCAGAUCUGCUCUGUUCUGCCUCUGUACUAAUUAGAAACAUUCAAAAGCUGGAAAGGAGGGCAAUGUAGAAUGGGUCCUUCAGGCCAGUUUCUGGUGCUGGGUGUUUGAAGUUCACAUCCCUGCAAAUAACACGAGGCAACUCCUCUGAUUCUUCCACGCUUGCAAUGUGGUUUUGUUGAGCUGCUUGUCAGAGGUCUCUUCACCACUGCUCGGCCUUCUUUAGGAGUUGUUUCCAUAAACGUCUUCAGGAGAUGAGAAAACGGAGGCUCGCAGACGUUCUGGAUGUCACGCAGCUCAUGUUGGCACUGAGGAUACAGAUGAGGGUUUGCUCUCCAGCCUGUCUGGACUAUACGUCUCUGUUUCACCCUCCCUAACAAAACACUCUCCCA